Molecule: non-coding RNA, 9947 nt
Organism: Anas platyrhynchos (mallard)
Lineage: Eukaryota; Metazoa; Chordata; Aves; Anseriformes; Anatidae
Source: RefSeq, a predicted model, not a curated record
GAGGUUAAGGAAAGAGCAAGUGUUUAUCAUAAAUCUCUUGAGUGCACUGGAGAUUUAUGUAAGGAUGUCUGAAGAUGUACCAGCUCAGUGCCACAGGACUGCGGACAGACAUUAAUUUUCAAACAGCUGAGCUGGUUGGAGGUCUUACAGCCAUUCCAGAUGCUUGCUACCAACCCUCUGCUGAUGGCUCCUGUACCCGUUGCUCUGCUGUUAGAAAAGGUGGUCCAAGGUCUUCCUAAUCUGUCAGGUGAAGUCUGUCAGACAGCUUUCAGUGCUGACAAAGAUGGUGUUAGUUGACCCAGCUGACAUUGCUUUACCUUUAAGAGGGAGCAUUUGCAUUACCAUGGGCUUUAGUAAGGAGGGACAGGGAGAAAAGAAGGCUUCAGCCUUUCCCACAGAACAUGUCUGCAGCCUCAGGCAGCUCCUGCAUUGCCUCCUACAGGUCUGAAGACAGGCAAUGCAUGCGUGUGGGUCUGGAUACAUCUACUGGGACAGAUAAUGUUGCCGCUGUUUCAGCUGAUACUCUGAAAGUGCUUUCAUCAGCUCAGAGCCAAAUAUCCCCAACUGGAAGGUAGAAGCUGUAGAACAACUGAUAUUAUUCAAGCCUCCAAGACCUAUUGUAUUAGGUCCAAGAUCUCAAGUUUUAUUUCUGGCUGUUCUGCGUCCAUCUCUGGCAAUUCCAGGAGACUCAUCCUGAAACCAGCUGCGGGCCCCUGGAAAGUGGGGUGCACCUUGGCGGUGGAUGCUGCUGUGGAGCAGAGCUUUCCCAGAGGAACCAGCCAGAGGAAUGGUCGCAGUGUCCUCCCCCAAAAGGUGGUGUGGAGGAUGGCUGCUGCCACCCACGUGCUUCCUGCAGUUGCUGCUUAAGCGUAGUGUUCUGUGCUCUCUGCCUGCAGUCGGAUUUGCCGUUUGCCCUAUGGAUAUCAUGGCCCAAAUCCUGUCCUAACUUAUAACUGUAAGACCAGUGGAGGUGCAUACAUGCACAUGAGAACACAACUAAUAGGAUGCUGAAGUCAUCUCACCAGUUUGAAAAAUCACAUUGAGGACUGAUGCUCGGAAAUGUCAUUUAAGGUCAUGUAAUUCCUGAAUCUGUAAAAUCCUAAUGUGCAGACAGCUUAUUUCCUGGUGCUAUGCUUUUAUAGGUGAAGGGAAUUUCACUUUCUUUAAUUUCAAAUUUUAGAGGCUGUACUACUAGAUCACCUUACUGGAGUUAAAACACUUUUAUAACAGCAUUUUACAAAACACAGCACUUGUCCCAUCCUACCUAGUGGUAAAAGCUUAUCUCCACCAGGAGAUUUUCGUAGAUUGAGAAAUGAAUUAAAAUAAUUUUUGACAUUUGUACAGAGGCUGAACAUUCAGUUUUCAGUUCAGUUUUAUAGAGGAUGGCUUUCAGAUUUUUUUUAAUUUUUUUUUUUACACCCAACUCCUUUAUUUGCUUUGGGUCAAUUGAAAGUUUUGGUUUUGAGUUUUGCAGCUUAUCUGAUGCAAUACAAACAGAAAAUCAAAAUGACAGUGGUGUUUAAGUUUUUUUUUUAUUAUUUAUUAUUAUUAAAAAAAAAAAAAAGCUAUGUUGCUCUGCAAACAUGUUGAAAAUAAAUGUUUCAACACUGCUGGAACGCUUUGUUUUCCUGGUUUUCUUCCUAAACAAAAUCCUGGCGAAACUAGCUGGAUUUUGCGAUGUGUUUUGGCUGCAGCAGAGCAGGAUCCCAGCAGCAUUUCUUCUGAUGGACUGAGAAGAGCAGGAGCAGCAGAGCUCCCCGUGCGGAGGGUUUUGUUCCAGAAGAAGAGCACUCCCUGGCCCGUGAAGAGGAGCGAUUCAACAUGCCUUCCGUCCGGGGGUCCAUGGAAACCCUUGUGGUUCUGCAGGUACACACUGAAUUAUGAAGGAGCUGCAGGCACUUAGAGAGCUGGAACAUGAUUAAUAACUGUCAAAUUAUAGUCUGUUUGUGGUUGGAGAAGAUCUGAAGCCCUGGGCAAGGUGUUCAGAAACUUUAGGACGAAGUCUUGACCUGGAAGAAAAAUGGAGUAUUGGUGAGCUGCAGCUCUGAGGAUCUCAUGAGGGAGUAGCUGGUAUGUGCAUGCCAACACAAGAGUCCUCAGACUCUUUCAUCAUGAGAACCACAUCUUGACUGCCAGAUAAACCACCUCCUUUUGUACUUGCAAUUGCAAAAUAGCUCCGUAGCAGCUCUAGCAAUUGCUCAGAGAGAAAUGAAAUAGAAAAACAUUUCAUGCAUCCUUAGUAUAGCAGGUGUUUCUACAAAAAAGACUAAUUGUGCAUUUUCAUUUGGCCUUUUGCUGCAUCUCUGCUCUGUGUCUGAACUGUUUCCUCUGCCAGGAGAAGAGUAGAGCCAGCCAACUUUUUGCAGACCUCUGCCAGUGUGUUUAGGUUUGUCAAUUUUAGGGUUGUUUUGUUGUAUGCAUUUUUUUAUUUUUAUUUUUGUUUUAGAUUGCACUGAGUAAAUUGUAUUUAUUCUGCUGUCAUGCAGUGUUUUGUAGAAAAAUUUAAGAAGUAACAUUUUUUCUCAUUCCUCUUUGCCGUGGAGGCCUCAAUCUUGCAUUAAGUUACAGGAGAAACCCAGAAACAGUUAAUCGAAUGUUAAACAAAACGAAUGAGGCUUGCACGGUGCCCCGAAGGUCAUUAGACUCAAGGUCUGAGCGGCUGCCAAGGGGAGCGAGCUCCAGCGCAGGAGCACUCAUCUGAGAAAUCCUCACUGCUGGACAUUGGGUGGUCGAACCUCAGCGCUGGCUGCAGGCGCCUCCCAGCUAAUCUCAGCUGCCAUGGCUGGACAUGGGGUGGGAAAUCUUAGCUACAAUAACUAUCCAAGAAAGCUUUUUGACGCAAAUAAUCAUCAGAGGAAACAAAUGCCCUUGUGGUUUCUACCGGAUUUUGUAAUAGGAGUCGUCUGGACGGCCAAGGCACAGCUGACCACCUCACCGCCCAGCACAGUGGAGGCGCGUCAUCCGUGAGGGGACUUUGCAGCCACUGCUCCUGCAAACAGCACCAGAAGAUCUCCGUGUGAAUAUGCAGUGGUUUUGCUGCUGCCUGCUUUCUCUCUGGCUUAAGGAGGAAGCCCGAGCCUUGGGCUGAGGCUCUUUCAGAGCCAGUGUAUGCCCCUUGGAUUUCUUGUUCCUGCAUUGCCUCUGAGGCAGGAUGGAGAGCAGAAAGCUGCUUACAUUCGGACUGCAUUCCAAAUUUCUUCAAAACGACUUUUUUCAAGAAAGGCACGUUUUCAGGGCCAGCACCGUGCGGCUGGCUCAGCCUCCAGACACACUUUCCAAAUCUUGUUGCCCAGAAUAGCAUGCUCUGAAAACACACUGCAGCCCCCCUGCCGUAGCUGGCCCAGCCUUUCACCGUGUCUGUACGACGAGGCUUUCCUCUCAGCUCAGAUGGCGGUGGUCUCAUGCAGAUGGCUGCAGAAGACCCCUUCACAAGGGCAGUUCUCCUUCCAGGCUUGUUUGGCUUGGCCUCAUCUGAACCAUGUGAGGCAAGGAACUUUGAGACCCCUUGCUCCAAUCUUACAGUACCCCUGCUUGCCUCCUGUUUUGCUCUGUCUCUGAUCAAUAGCUCUAGGUGGUGUAGGUAGCUUUUCAUGGGCACAUUUUAUUGCUCAUGGAUGAUGCCAGACUGACGGAUGUGGACAUAUGAAGUAAUCCGGGCAGUGGCUAAACGAGCUCCCCCAUGGCUUUCCCAGCGUGGCUGCCACGGAGUAAUCCCCUCUGUGGGUUAUUUCAGUGCUCUGUCCAGCUUUGACCCAUCAGCCAGGACUGAAAAAUCUGUUCCCGCUGCCACAACGCUUAACACUGCUUUUACUGUUUUCAGACUGUGCUUUGGAAACCCUCUCAUCGAUUUGAAUGGGCUUGGGAUCCAGCCUGGUGUUCUCGCACAUUGCAGAGUUCAGCUGAUUUUUCUUGCUCGUUUUUUCUUACACACCUUCAGGAUCUGCCCCCAUGCUAAGGAGCAGCAUUUGGAGGGUGCAGGUCUGGGCAUCGCCGCGUUGCCAGCACUGCGAGGGGGGAGGGUAACUAAUAAGGAAGUGAGCAAAUUGUGCUCGAAGUUUUUCUUCUUGCUGCCUCCGUGUCCCACCCCCAGGCUCCCCACGGCAGGUGUUGCAGAGGCGAAAGUCAGCGCCCCUGCGGAGCAAGACGAGAAGCACCCAAAGUCACCUCUUUCCUCCGCGUGCAACCCAGAACCCGGAAACUCCCACAUCUCACCCGGCUUGCAGCCCAGCUGUCUGAAACCACAGGCAGCAGGGGUGGAUAGCAGCCGGCUGCUCGUUGCGCUGCAGCCGGGGCGAUGGGGGAGAUAGUGGGGAGGAUCUCUAGGUGCAAGUAGGAGCAUGAAUCCACUGAAGAAAUAUUAACUCUAGCUGUGAAAGAUGAGGAAUAUCAAGCAAGGAAGCGAGCACACACACACACACACACACACACAAGACUCAGACUCGUGCAGUGCUGGAGGGUUUGGUUAUAUCUGAGUUUUUUCUCAGCAUUCAGUCCUUCUGACACGGCUCCACUGCUGGGGUGCUGAGGAGCAAUGUGGCGCUGCCAGCUCGAGCCUUGCAGGGCGAUAGGUGGGGAUUUCCUUGAAGCCCUUGUGUCUCCCUGCCAGAGUGCUGAGAUCACCUGGGAAUCUUGGCUUUCGAUGUAAGGAAAAGAGAAAAAAAUAAUUAAAAAAAAAGAGAGAGAGAGAGACUCAAGCACUCACGAGUGUACAGAGAGAUUUAAAAUGGGAAAUGCGUGUGACCUGUAGCCAAAUAAUAACUGAAAGUGUGUUGCAGAUAACAUCCUGGUCUUCAACUUGAAAGUUAAACAGCAAAUGCUUUUGGAUCUCUUUAAAACCUUGCUUGACGCUAGCAGUCUUGAGGAAUGUGAACUGGUGCAUUGGUUAAACUGCUCGGGAGCGGCCUGAUGGUGCAGCAGCUGAAGCGGUAGCAGUGGCCUUCGAGUUGCCCUUUGGCACUCGAGGCUGCACAGGGCACAUGCUUCAGCUCCCCGCUGCCCAGGCCAGGGGAGGCCAGGCUGCCUUGGCCUGUGUUUGCUCUCAGCUCUGCCCCUGGAUGGCAGCAUUUCUACUGGUGCAGCAAGGCAAAAUUGUUCAGGGAAAAAAAUAAAAAUAAAAAAAAUAAAGCAGGGGCAGAUGAGGCUUUUGGGUACUGCCAGGUUAAGGUGUUGGAAGGCAGAGCGACCUGGCAUGCCUGUGUGAUGACCAGCAGCGCCCAGCCCAUUGCGGCUGGGAGGGGAGGCUUACUCAUAGCUGCAGCCCUGCUGCAUCUGCAGGGCAAAGAGCAAUGAAAAUUUUGCUACUUUGGAUGCUAACUCAUGGCAGCAGGUGGCUUUAGCUGUGGCGAAUGACACAGUUAAUGCUUCCUGCUCCUGGCUGCUCCCUUUAGCCAGAGGUUACUGCAGAGCUGGUAGUGGUGGCCGAGCAGAGGGUAUGUUGGUCCCUCAUAGAUUAACUCUAAGGCCUUAGGAUGUUUCACCAAGUGGGCUGCUGGUCCAGUCCAUGAAUAUCUCUGUCUUGACUUUUUUAUUUUGAAUGUUAGACCCUGCCCACAAAGAUGAAGCCUUUUCUGGCCUCAGUUUUCAGUAUUGCUGCUGUUCUUUCUUUCUAUCUUCUCUCUUCGUUGCCUUGACCAUGGGUAGAGGUGCAGGGGCUGUCAGUACCUGCAUGUUCCCAUCCUGUGUGUGAGUAGUGCUCUGCACAAAGCGGGCCACGAGGAGCUGGAGAAGCUGCAGGUAAGCAUCUGAGGAGUAAUGCUGGCCUUCUCAGUGAGGCAGUGUGUUCUGCAUGGCUAGGGCGGCAGAAACAGGGCUCACGAGUGACGGAGCAGAAUCAGCGAUUACUAUUUGGCAGGAGAUGCUUAAACUUUGUCAAGCCAGGCAAGUAUCUCCAUUGUGGUCUCUGACUCACAAUUCAAAUAUGCUGGGAACAUUUGAGGGGGCUGGGUCAGUCCUUCAAGCAGUGGGAAAAACAAGGCUUUAAUACAUCGGCCGCGUAGCUUUGGGUCUGUGCUCCACUGUUCUGCUUUUCUUUGAGGAAAACUGGUGUGGCUGGUGGGGCGGAGAGGGAGGUGUUGUGAAACCACGCACACACGCACACACAUGUGCCAGGCCUGAUUUCGAUCCCUUCUGACAACGUUUCAUACUCCUUCGGCUGCAGUGAUGGAGCUGCAGUGCUUGUGACCUACCCUCUGAGGUGAGCCGAGGAGCACGCUGUCUGUGGUUGCCACCACAUCCCCACCUCUGCUGCAGCAUCCCGGCUGAGCCGUGCCGUGCAGAGGAGCUCGUGGUGGGGCACGGGAGCUGAUAAAGCCCUGUGGCCACCCAGGGCAUGCACUGAUGCUCCUGAUGAAGGUGCUUCCUGCUGAUAUGGAGGGCAAGGCAGAUAAGGAGCAGGCAUCUUCCCCCAGAUCCCAUUGCCGGGUGAGAGUGUCUGCUUCCUGCCAGACCCUGCCCUGGUGGCUCCUCGUUGUGUCUCCUGCUUGGGGAUGCUCCCAGUGCCCUGUGUUGCCGGGCGAGGGGUGGCCGUGCAGCAGAGCUGCCGCUAGCUCCACGGUGCAGCCAGCCGCUGGGACGCGAGGCUCUGCUCGGCUCGCCUCACAGCCUGGCUUCCUGUGUGUUCUUCCCCGCUAUGGUUUUGACCAGAAAUUCCAUUUUUGACCCGAAAAAUCUUCCAGAUGAAAAUUUAAUUAAAAAAGUGAUGUAUUCCCACAAGAAACUUCAGUGUCAGCAAAUAAGCUUUUUUUUUUUUUUUUUUUUUUUUUUUUAAAUGAAAAACCGUUUUAUUCGCACACAAAAAUGACAUCCAAACUGGCUCCCAUUGAGUCCACUGUAGAGCAUUAUACUCCUAAAAGCCCUAGAGUUUUGUUUAAUAAAAAAUAUUCACGAUUCACAAUUAGCAUCCAUUAGGCAUACAGAUCACAAAGAGCUGGUACCACAAGGGAGGUUCUCCUGUACUGGGCACGGUCCGUCUGUGAGUCAUUAAAUCAUGAACUGUGAUCUGUAAAUGUUGCUGGCAGUGGAGAAGUGGGAUGAAGGAGAAGUGGGAGCCUUAACCCAGAGAAAAGGAGUUGUUCCUUUUGUGUCACAGAUUACCUUGCUGAUCAUGGGCUUCGGCAUCACGCCUUUCCACACAGCAAAGGUGACGGUGCUUUCCUCCAUCUGAUGCGAUUUGUACAUAUUUGUACAUAUUUUCCUGAUGCAGAGGUCUCUGCUGGCAGCUGUUGUUGGUUGCACAUUUACUUGGGAUCAUCACAUGCAGAGAAAGGCUGUUGGCUUGGGCAGAGCAGCUGCUCCAGGGCCGGAUCAGUCUCCCUGGGAUUCAGCGCAACGUACAGAAAGCCUGCUGGUGGCAAGGUGCACGUCCACACAGCAGAAAACUUUGUAAGGCCAUCAACAAAGGCCAAAUAAAAUAACCUGUAGGAAGUCAACAGGGGGGAAGAAGCAGAGACAGGGUGUGAGUGUGUGUAUUUAUGUGAACAAAAUAAUGAUAAGCUGUAAACUAUGAAAUAUCUGCUCGCUCAUUAAUGCGUCUGCUUCUGACUAAUGCUGGGGUGUUCCUGCUGUCCAGCAGCCAAAGUGCAAACAAGGGGACUGCUGUGACUUAGUGCCCAAUAUUUAAACACACGGGGACAAUUCAGGCCACCCACACUCCUAUGUAAAUAUGACUUCUGCAGAGUCAUUUCAGACCGGACCCGGGGGAAGUCAGGGCAAAACUGGCCCUUACGUGGCCGGUGCAGGCAUUGGGGGCCAGGCAUUGCCUUCUGCUAGCCCAGGGAGCCCCUGCUUGCUCCUCAGGACUUGUGUGCAGCUAGCUGUGGGCAGAGCUGGCUCCUGAUGCUAACUGGACUUUUUUUUCUAGCUCAGGGAAGGCUCUUCCUUGCUUGGAGGGAAGCAGCAUUUUCCCUGGAGCUGCUCUGGAUGUGGCUCCUGCCUGCAUCCAUUGCCUCCUCCCCCAGACCUGAGCUCCUUCCUGCCUGGCUUCUUGCUGCGCAGCAUCCAGAGACACGGACUGGGAACCUAAAUGCAACCAGAGUCUGCCAGCACAUGAGAGUGAGAAAGUGGAACUGUCCCCCAGCAGAAAGGGAAAUGGUCCCCUGUAUUUGUGAGCUAGGCUAAGCCAGGAGUAAAAGGAAGCAGUCACAAGCAAGCUGCAAAAAGAAGUGAUCGAUUCUAGGGGCAGGAAGAACCAGGCACCAGUGACAGCCCCCGCAGCAAUACAAAGGAUGAACAAAACUCUCCCUGAGGAUUUGGCUACAUCUAGAGGAGAAGCACAUCUUGAGAGUGUAUGAUCUAUCCUAUGCUGCCACAUAAGAAAACCUUUCUGUAUGCAGAGGAUUUUUUCUAGAAAGGCGAGCAGUAAUUAUUGCGGUUAAUAGCCCAGGUGUUACUGCAAUACAGAUAAGUCUCAGUCAUGGUCCUUGACUCCAUGUCUCUUGUUUUAAGCAGAAGUCAGGAAAACUGUCCUUGCCAUCACAGGGAAGCGUUGUCCACAUUCCCACAUCAAAGACAUUGAAACAUAAUUCUCCUCGUCUCCCAUCCAGUGUCUCAAACAUGACUCAUUUUGAGGCUCUGCCUUUUAUUCUGAGCAGGCUGAUGCUGCUGCACUUCUAAAGGAAUUCACCCUCUGCCAGAUCCUACUGUGGUGCUCAUAGCCAGCUCUUCAGCCUGUACUCCUUCAGGUGCUUUGCCAGUGCCUGACCACCUUUUUGAAAGUUGUCUCAGACUGCAAAUGCUGAGAUGGUAGUGGAAAAUUGGCUUGCACUUCUCAGAAAACUGCAUCUCUCAGAAAACAGAAGUAAAAGCCCAGGCUGAAGGUAAAGGGACAUACCAACGUGGGCAAAGUGAACAGUCUGUUUUGUUCCUGUGUGAUGCCUGUGGAAGAGCAGAAGUGCUGUGCUGGAUUAAGGCAGCAGCAAGCAGCCUGUUUUGGGCAGUGCUGAGCACCCCAGGGCUUUCAGGCCAAGACAAAAAGCUUCAUAUCAGACACUUAAGGGUUUGGUUGCCUGGAGGGGGACCUUCUUCCUAACCACUGUGCAGUGUCUGGUGCCAUAUUAUGAAACCUGAGGGCUCAUGUCUAACUGGCAAAGAUACGACGGUCCAUCUGCACGUGAUGCCCCAUGCUGGGUCCUAAGCCUGUGGCAUGAGGUGUAUCUUGGGGCAGGUUGUCCGUGCAAUCUAAGAAAAACAGUUAAGGCUGGUGAAGUUGUCUCUGGGCCAUAAGAAAUUGACAAAGAGAAAUAUUUUACUAGCCUUUUCUGUAGAGCAGUCUGUUUUCACCUCCUCUAGUCUUGAGUGUGUUAAGUCUUCUGUAGCAAGCCAUGGGAGAUGGCCUAUGGUGCAAAAUCCCAUAAGUCCUUUCCAACUCUUUCCACACCAUUUUUGUCAUCUCUCUUUGUAAUCUCUUCUUUCUCUUGUAGCUAACAUCCUCUGAGGCGGGUGUAGUGGCAACAUCUGAGCACAGGCGAGACUGUAGAAACAUUAUAAAGAUAAAUAAGAUUCCUCCUUGUCCUCCCUAAUUAUUUUUACCCUCUGUGGUGACCACUUACGGCCUAAACAAUGGAAACAUUAUUUCCCUUACAAAGUAGUGGUAGUAGCAAAGAUGGAGAUGCCUGUUUUUAACAUUGCUUGUUCCUAAGCAGACCUUUUCCAUAUCAUUCUUACCACUUAUCUGACCAAUAAAUCUGCAAAUACAUGCAAGUGGUAUUUACUGUGUUGUUACAUGUACCUAGAGGCAGAUGGUGAGCCAGUACCAAAGCUCACAUUUUUGUACCUUUAUGCAACAUCUUGGGAGCUGGAUUAAAUCUCUACCUUAGUUGGGGCUUCACAGAGGCCUCUGCAUACAUCCAGGAUCUGGACUGAAAGAUCCCAGCCUUGCCAAGAUUUAAGCCCAUCUUAAACCGAACUUGCUACGUGCCUUGAAAUCUAAGCCGUCUCCUGCGCUCUCUCUC